Molecule: non-coding RNA, 182 nt
Filed under: Desulfobulbus propionicus
Lineage: Bacteria; Pseudomonadati; Thermodesulfobacteriota; Desulfobulbia; Desulfobulbales; Desulfobulbaceae
Also listed under: 1 other name
Source: RNAcentral
CUUUACACACAAGUUUCAGGUUCCUUUCGAGGAUUAAUAGGGAACUCCGUGGAAUUCGGAGACGGGCCCGCCGCUGUAACCGGGGACGACCACCACAGUUCAGUCACUGACCUUCAGGUUGGGAAGGCGUGGUGGAAGGGUGAACCGGAAGUCAGAAUACCUGCCUGAAGCGUGACAGUCGC